This 484-nucleotide ribosomal RNA is filed under the name uncultured bacterium. Its description in RNAcentral is "bacterial SSU rRNA". It matches the Rfam family "Bacterial small subunit ribosomal RNA", at positions 28 to 520 of the family's 1533-position model. The record is from RNAcentral.
GAUGAACGCUGGCGGCGUGCUUAACACAUGCAAGUCGAACGAAGAUGCCGGAGUGCUUGCACUUUGGCAGACUGAGUGGCGGACGGGUGAGUAACGCGUGGGUAACCUGCCUUAUACAGGGGGAUAACAGUUGGAAACGACUGCUAAUACCGCAUAAGCGCACGGUAUCGCAUGAUACAGUGUGAAAAACUCCGGUGGUAUAAGAUGGACCCGCGUCUGAUUAGCUAGUUGGUGAGGUAACGGCCCACCAAGGCGACGAUCAGUAGCCGGCCUGAGAGGGUGAACGGCCACAUUGGGACUGAGACACGGCCCAAAACUCCUACGGGAGGCAGCAGUGGGGAAUAUUGCACAAUGGGGGAAACCCUGAUGCAGCGACGCCGCGUGAGUGAUGAAGUAUUUCGGUAUGUAAAACUCUAUCAGCAGGGAAGAUAAUGACGGUACCUGACUAAGAAGCACCGGCUAAAAUACGUGCCAGCAGCCGCGG